This 468-nucleotide ribosomal RNA is filed under the name uncultured bacterium. RNAcentral's name for it is "partial 16S ribosomal RNA". It matches the Rfam family "Bacterial small subunit ribosomal RNA", at positions 28 to 507 of the family's 1533-position model. The record is from RNAcentral.
GACGAACGCUGGCGGCGUGCUUAACACAUGCAAGUCGAACGGAAAGGCCCUGCUUUUGUGGGGUGCUCGAGUGGCGAACGGGUGAGUAACACGUGAGUAACCUGCCCUUGACUUUGGGAUAACUUCAGGAAACUGCGGCUAAUACCGGAUAGGAGCUCCUGCUGCAUGGUGGGGGUUGGAAAGUUUCGGCGGUUGGGGAUGGACUCGCGGCUUAUCAGCUUGUUGGUGGGGUAGUGGCUUACCAAGGCUUUGACGGGUAGCCGGCCUGAGAGGGUGACCGGCCACAUUGGGACUGAGAUACGGCACAGACUCCUACGGGAGGCAGCAGUGGGGAAUAUUGCACAAUGGGCGGAAGCCUGAUGCAGCAACGCCGCGUGCGGGAUGACGGCCUUCGGGUUGUAAACCGCUUUCGCCUGUGACGAAGCGUGAGUGACGGUAAUGGGUAAAGAAGCACCGGCUAACUACGUG